GGAGGGGUGGCUGAGUGGUUUAAAGCGUAGCACCGGAAAUGCUAAGUAGAUAUACCUUUACCGAGGGUUCAAAUCCCUCCUCCUCCU
This 87-nucleotide transfer RNA is filed under the name Lindsaea linearis. Its description in RNAcentral is "tRNA-Ser". It matches the Rfam family "tRNA". From Rfam's summary of the family: Transfer RNA (tRNA) molecules are approximately 80 nucleotides in length. Their secondary structure includes four short double-helical elements and three loops (D, anti-codon, and T loops). Further hydrogen bonds mediate the characteristic L-shaped molecular structure. tRNAs have two regions of fundamental functional importance: the anti-codon, which is responsible for specific mRNA codon recognition, and the 3' end, to which the tRNAs corresponding amino acid is attached (by aminoacyl-tRNA synthetases). tRNAs cope with the degeneracy of the genetic code in two manners: having more than one tRNA (with a specific anti-codon) for a particular amino acid; and 'wobble' base-pairing, i.e. permitting non-standard base-pairing at the 3rd anti-codon position. Lineage: Eukaryota; Viridiplantae; Streptophyta; Polypodiopsida; Polypodiales; Lindsaeaceae. The record is from RNAcentral.